Molecule: long non-coding RNA, 974 nt
Filed under: Vulpes vulpes (red fox)
Lineage: Eukaryota; Metazoa; Chordata; Mammalia; Carnivora; Canidae
Description: lncRNA (ENSVVUG00000030259.1)
Source: RNAcentral
GGACCCGGGUGGAUAGAGGGACCCGGGUGGAUAGAGGGACCUGGGUCAAUAGAGGGACCCAGGUGGAUACAGUGACCACAGUGGAUAUAGGGACUCGGGUGGGUAGAGGGACCCAGGUGGUAAUGGGACCUGGGUGAAUAGAGGGACCUGGGGGGAUAGAGGAACUGGAUGGAUAGAGGGACCUGGGUGGACACAGGGCCCCGGGUGGCAGCCUAAUGACGCCCCCAUGUCCAGGGAUGAGAAAGCCGGUGCUCGGAGGAAUGUGUCCAGACUGUCACAUACUUAGCAGACGUUCUGCGCAGGUGAGCAGCUGAGUGGAAUCCACAGGUGAGCAGCUGAGUGGAAUCCGUAGGUGAGCAGCUGAGCGGAAUGCAAAUGGGAAACCCUAAGGAGUGGACCCCAGGCCGCCGACCCGACCUCUGGGACCCAAGGACAAGUGGUUGGCCGCCCAAAGCAGUGCCUGUGACCUGGUGGGAACAUCAGCGGGACGGCGGUGCAGAUUUUCUUCUGCCUGAUGGUCUGACUCAGGCCGUGGCUGUUCCAGUAACUUGACCAAACACUGCACUUGCCUAUUGGUGACUUGGGAGGACAUUAAGACCCUACCAGAGUUUUGAAAAAUCAGCAAUCAGCCCUCAGAACGUGGGUCCUGCACGUGUUUGAGCGUUCCGCUGUACGUUACAUAAAUAUAUCAAGUAACUGGGUCCUUAUGGAGACGCUGCCUCCAGUACAAGCAGAGAGAAGACCACGCACAAGGUGCUAAAGAAUUGGCAACGCGAACAGUCCUCUAUCCAUUGAUGGUUAAGUGAAUUACUUUUAAGCCUGAUGUCAUAGUCACUAGUCACACUGUUGUCUUUUGCUACUUAAAAAGUGUGGGAUUUUCUUCUUAAAGACAUUUCCCUGUCUUGGGUCAAAAAGAACUUUGCAAACAACGUGAUGUUGCGGUUCCAAUGUCUUUGGCUUUCAUAAGAACUCUA